This 481-nucleotide ribosomal RNA is filed under the name uncultured bacterium. RNAcentral describes it as "bacterial SSU rRNA". It matches the Rfam family "Bacterial small subunit ribosomal RNA", at positions 9 to 490 of the family's 1533-position model. The record is from RNAcentral.
GAGUUUGAUCCUGGCUCAGGAUGAACGCUGGCGGCGUGCCUAACACAUGCAAGUCGAGCGAAGCACUUUAAUUUGAUUCUUCGGAUGAGGAUUUUUGUGACUGAGCGGCGGACGGGUGAGUAACGCGUGGGCAACCUGCCUUACACAGGGGGAUAACAGUUAGAAAUGACUGCUAAUACCGCAUAAGACCACAGUACUGCAUGGUGCAGUGGUAAAAACUCCGGUGGUGUAAGAUGGGCCCGCGUCUGAUUAGGUAGUUGGCGGGGUAACGGCCCACCAAGCCGACGAUCAGUAGCCGACCUGAGAGGGUGACCGGCCACAUUGGGACUGAGACACGGCCCAGACUCCUACGGGAGGCAGCAGUGGGGAAUAUUGCACAAUGGGGGAAACCCUGAUGCAGCGACGCCGCGUGAGCGAUGAAGUAUUUCGGUAUGUAAAGCUCUAUCAGCAGGGAAGAAAAUGACGGUACCUGACUAAGAAG